Molecule: ribosomal RNA, 230 nt
Filed under: uncultured bacterium
Lineage: Bacteria
Description: partial 16S ribosomal RNA
Rfam family: Bacterial small subunit ribosomal RNA
Source: RNAcentral
UAAAGCGCGCGUAGGUGGUUUGUUAAGUUGGAUGUGAAAUCCCCGGGCUCAACCUGGGAACUGCAUCCAAAACUGGCAAGCUAGAGUAUGGUAGAGGGUGGUGGAAUUUCCUGUGUAGCGGUGAAAUGCGUAGAUAUAGGAAGGAACACCAGUGGCGAAGGCGACCACCUGGACUGAUACUGACACUGAGGUGCGAAAGCGUGGGGAGCAAACAGGAUUAGAUACCCCUU